This 734-nucleotide ribosomal RNA is filed under the name uncultured marine bacterium. Its description in RNAcentral is "bacterial SSU rRNA". It matches the Rfam family "Bacterial small subunit ribosomal RNA", at positions 14 to 794 of the family's 1533-position model. The record is from RNAcentral.
UGAUCCUGGCUCAGGAUGAACGCUGGCGGCGUGGAUGAGGCAUGCAAGUCGAAUGGGUUUAGACCCAUGGCAGACGGGGUAGGAACAGGUAGGUACGUACCGUAGAGUCACGGAUACUCUGGUGAAAAUCAGCAUAAUACGUGAUGGUCCCUUCGGGGUAAAGAUUUAUCGCUCUAUGAACGGCCUGCUUUCUAUCAGCUUGUUGGUACGGUAACGGCGUACCAAGGCUACGACGGAUAGGGGAGGUGAGAGCCUGACCCCCACCAUUGGAACUGAGACACUGUCCAAACUCCUACGGGAGGCUGCAGUCGAGAAUCUUCCGCAAUGGGCGAAAGCCUGACGGAGCGACGCCGCGUGGUGGAUGAAGUACCUAGGUACGUAAACACCUUUUAUGAGUGAAGAAGUAUAUUGACAUUAACUCAUGAAUAAGGGGCUCCUAACUCUGUGCCAGCAGGAGCGGUAAUACAGAGGCCCCAAGCGUUAUCCGGAUUCACUGGGCGUAAAGGGUGCGUAGGCGGUGGUAUUAGUCGGGCGUUAAAUCCUUGGGCUCAACCCAAGAAUCGCGUUCGAAACGGUACCACUAGAAGUAGUCAGAGGCUAACAGAGCUCUCGGUGUAGGGGUGAAAUCCGUUGAUAUCGAGGGAAAUACCAAAUGCGAAGGCAGUUAGCUGGGGCUCACUUGACGCUGAGGCACGAAAGCGUGGGUAGCGAACGGGAUUAGAUACCCCGGUAGU